GUUUAUGGCCAUACCACCCUGAACGCACCCAAUCUCCUAUGAACUUGGAAGCUAUGCAGGGUUUGGCCUGCCUGGUUAGUACUUGGAUGGGAAAACUUUGAAGACAUACUUC
RNAcentral lists this ribosomal RNA (112 nucleotides) under Cricetulus griseus (Chinese hamster). Lineage: Eukaryota; Metazoa; Chordata; Mammalia; Rodentia; Cricetidae. The record is from RNAcentral.